RNAcentral lists this long non-coding RNA (258 nucleotides) under Lotus japonicus. RNAcentral describes it as "long non-coding RNA (LJAP_LNC000247)". Lineage: Eukaryota; Viridiplantae; Streptophyta; Magnoliopsida; Fabales; Fabaceae. The record is from RNAcentral.
AUAAUGACUUAAUUUAGAAUUAGAACCAAGUGAUCAAAAUGAGGCUUUGACUUCUUAGGUCGUAAGUAGGAGCUUUUAGAGUCCCAAGAUCCAUAAUUAUUUAUUUCCUUUAUUUAAGUAGCUAAUCAACAUCAUCUUCCUUAUCAUCAUGUUUAAAGAGAACUGCACAUAUAAGCUGAACACAAACUCCAACAAAUAAUCUUCUAACUGUCUUUUUACAGUUUCUUCGCUCAAUUUUAGAAUCCAGGCAGAAUUCAA